RNAcentral lists this ribosomal RNA (424 nucleotides) under Verrucomicrobiota bacterium. Its description in RNAcentral is "Verrucomicrobia bacterium partial 16S ribosomal RNA". It matches the Rfam family "Bacterial small subunit ribosomal RNA", at positions 355 to 776 of the family's 1533-position model. Lineage: Bacteria; Pseudomonadati; Verrucomicrobiota. The record is from RNAcentral.
UGAGGAAUAUUGGUCAAUGGGCGAGAGCCUGAACCAGCCAAGUAGCGUGCAGGAUGACGGCCCUAUGGGUUGUAAACUGCUUUUAUAUGGGAAUAAAGUGAGGGACGUGUCCCUUAUUGCAUGUACCAUACGAAUAAGGACCGGCUAAUUCCGUGCCAGCAGCCGCGGUAAUACGGAAGGUCCAGGCGUUAUCCGGAUUUAUUGGGUUUAAAGGGAGCGUAGGCUGUUUGUUAAGCGUGUUGUGAAAUGUAAGCGCUCAACUUCUAGAUUGCAGCGCGAACUGUCAGACUUGAGUGCGCACAACGUAGGCGGAAUUCAUGGUGUAGCGGUGAAAUGCUUAGAUAUCAUGAAGAACUCCGAUUGCGAAGGCAGCUUACGGGAGCGCAACUGACGCUGAAGCUCGAAGGUGCGGGUAUCGAACAGG